AUUUCAUGGAGGGUCCAAGCCACAACAUAAACACCAUUUUAGAUGGUAUAACUUAAGUCAGACAUGGUCAUGUCAGAGUAAAGCAAUGACAAGGGUCUUCAAGGAGGCAUUUAGUGAACAUUCUUCUUGUUUCAGGUUUUCAAGGUCAUCUGUACUUCUGAAUGUUGAGUGUCAGAAUUCUUUCAACAAAAUGUCCUCUGAGUACUUAGCAGGGCUCACUGUCCUGAGAAAAUUCAACAAAAAACGAGGAACUUCACUUGUGAGAUGUGAAAAUGGAUCUUCUCUGUGAAGUACACAUAGACACCAUUAUUUGCCAUCUCCAAUGUCAAUUUGUGAAGGAAUUCCUCACCUCUCAGAUCAUCUACUGUCAUCAGGGCUACCCAUGUCCACUCAAAGUGAGUCGUCAAUCUGACCACACCUUUAUGUAGGGAAGAGUCCCUAGGGGCCAUUUGGUAAAGAGAAGGAAACUGCACCUUGUCACUCAGCAUGGGAUCAAAUGGCCCAAAGGUGAUCUGGAUGUGAAAGAAGUAUUGGGAAAUCUGCGAUCUAAGAAUGUGAUUACGAUGUAAGUGUAAAUGUGGGAUUGAAACCAAUCAACUCCAUUUAGAUUUGAUAUUUUAAUUGGGUGAGACUACAUCUGAAUCAAAACCUUAAAUUAAUUUUCUUUGAAGUCACUGAUUGCGCAAAAUGAGGGUGAACAGGAUAUCUAUUUCAAUAGCCUGGGAAAUGGGUUCGUGCCUCUAGAGAUCAUCUAUAGGUUGUCAGUGGAGCUCAGAGGAGAAAGUAAUUCCAGAAAUUGUAGUGGAUGACUGUCAACAAACCUCUGCAAUGCAAAGCCAAGAAUGAGCCAUAGAAAAAAAGACAGAAAUCAAGGAGAGUCAUAGGCUCUCACACUGUGGGAAAUGCCAAGAAAAUAUUGGCUCUUUCAUCUGCUUCCCCUUCGUGUGCCUGUCUAUCCAGAGACCUACAAUGUAACCUGUUGUUUCAUUACUCAAACAUUUAGGGUAAGCCCAGGUUUUCUUCAACCAUAAAGAAGCCAGAAGUUGAUUAGAGAUAAAUAUAAAUGUAGUGUUAGACAACUUAUCUUUACAUAUCAAGAUGUUUUUAUUGUAACUGAACUUAUCAUAACUUUCAACAAAACUCAAAAAAUGAAAAUGAAGGAACCACAGGGACACUUAAACAGGCCAAUUAUUUUAAUGGUGUAAAAAUUAAGUGUGUAAAAGUCCCCAUUCUCCCCAUGGCAUCUUUUCCAUAUUAGGAGAAAGGCUGUGGAUUUCACUGAGAUACCUAAUGCAUUUUGCUUUCCCUAAACCUUUGCAUUUAUUCAUUUACCCAAGCCAUCUAGAAGACAAUUGUUUAUUAUAGAAAAACAAUCUGAUUUUUCUGUUUUAUCUGCUUCAUAAUGUGUGCUUUACAUCUCAAGCCCAAAUGGCACUGAGAACAUAUUCCUACUUCUUGUCCUGUUUUUCCUGCUAUGGUAGAUUCCCCAGCUAAAAUUAUUGUACUUUACUUGUAGUGGGUAUGAUAUAUGUAUGCAAAAUAACAAAACAAAAUUGAACACCAUGUGCACGUGUGUUUGUGUUUGCAUGUGUGUGUGUAUGUUCAUGAGACAAAGAGCAUGGUUGAUAUCAAAGUGAAUUUGCAGUGUUUAAAUGUUGAACUAGGACAGCUAGGUGGCACAGUGGGUAGAAUGUCAGGUCAAGAGUCUGGAAGACCUUAGUUCAAAUCCAGUCUCAAACACUUACUAGCUGUGUGAUCCUGGGCAAGUCAUUUAACCUUGUUGGACAUAGUUUCCUCAUCUGUAAACUGAGCUGGAGAAGGAAAUGGGAAACCACUCUAGUAUCUUUAGCAAGAAAACCCAAAAUAAGGUCAUGAAGAGUCAGUCAUGAAUAAAAUGUAUGAAAAACAACA
Molecule: long non-coding RNA, 1911 nt
Filed under: Phascolarctos cinereus (koala)
Lineage: Eukaryota; Metazoa; Chordata; Mammalia; Diprotodontia; Phascolarctidae
Description: lncRNA (ENSPCIG00000034594.1)
Source: RNAcentral